CGCGUGUACUGGUCCGGCCGGGCCUUUCCUUCUGGAGAGCCCCAUGCCCUUCACUGGGCGUGCGGGGGAACCAGGACUUUUACUUUGAAAAAAUUAGAGUGUUCAAAGCAGGCCUUUGCUCGAAUACGUUAGCAUGGAAUAAUAGAAUAGGACGUGCGGUCCUAUUUUGUUGGUUUCUAGGACCGCCGUAAUGAUUAAUAGGGAUAGUCGGGGGCAUCAGUAUUCAAUUGUCAGAGGUGAAAUUCUUGGAUUUAUUGAAGACUAACUACUGCGAAAGCAUUUGCCAAGGAUGUUUUCAUUAAUCAGUGAACGAAAGUUAGGGGAUCGAAGACGAUCAGAUACCGUCGUAGUCUUAACCGUAAACUAUGCCGACUAGGGAUCGGGCGAUGUUUCUAUCUUGACUCGCUCGGCACCUUACGAGAAAUCAAAGUUUUUGGGUUCUGGGGGGAGUAUGGUCGCAAGGCUGAAACUUAAAGAAAUUGACGGAAGGGCACCACCAGGAGUGGAGCCUGCGGCUUAAUUUGACUCAACACGGGAAAUCUCACCAGGCCCGGACACCGGAAGGAUUGACAGAUUGAGAGCUCUUUCUUGAUUCGGUGGGUGGUGGUGCAUGGCCGUUCUUAGUUGGUGGAGCGAUUUGUCUGGUUAAUUCCGAUAACGAACGAGACUCUGGCCUACUAACUAGACAUGUGAUCCUUUAUGGGUCUGAUGUAGCUUCUUAGAGGGACGGGCGG
Molecule: ribosomal RNA, 734 nt
Filed under: uncultured eukaryote
Lineage: Eukaryota
Description: bacterial SSU rRNA
Rfam family: Eukaryotic small subunit ribosomal RNA
Source: RNAcentral